UGUUUGGGCAAUGGAAGGAAAGACACAGC
This 29-nucleotide non-coding RNA is filed under the name Rattus norvegicus (Norway rat). Lineage: Eukaryota; Metazoa; Chordata; Mammalia; Rodentia; Muridae. The record is from RNAcentral.